AGAGGCUCAAGUUGACAGACAACGGCGUAAAGCGUGGUUAAGGAAAAUAUGUAACUAAAGCGGAACCUCCUCCUAGCUGUUAUACGCUUCCGAGGAAGUGAACCCCAACUACGAAAGUGGCUUUAUCCAACCUGAACCCACGAAAGCUAAGAAACAAACUGGGAUUAGAUACCCCACUAUGCUUAGCCUUAAACAUUGAUUGUUUACUACAUCAAACAUCCGCCUGGGAAUUACGAACAUUA
This 242-nucleotide ribosomal RNA is filed under the name Caranx sexfasciatus (bigeye trevally). Its description in RNAcentral is "partial small subunit ribosomal RNA". The record is from RNAcentral. Lineage: Eukaryota; Metazoa; Chordata; Actinopteri; Carangiformes; Carangidae.